RNAcentral lists this long non-coding RNA (792 nucleotides) under Ananas comosus (pineapple). Its description in RNAcentral is "long non-coding RNA (ACOM_LNC011701)". The record is from RNAcentral. Lineage: Eukaryota; Viridiplantae; Streptophyta; Magnoliopsida; Poales; Bromeliaceae.
GCAUGAGCGACACCAACGCAAAAGCACAAAGCCUGACUCCGGAGUGGCACUCGUGGGCGCUACCCAACCGAGUAUGCAGCGUAUCUCUGUCGAGCUCAAUCAGGCUCCAACUAGCCAAAGUCAAGUGAACAGGAUCAAAACAGGUCUACAAACCAAACCCACGUGCCCUCGGCACAAUUUGUGACCAAAACAAAAAUCUGGGUCCACCGCUAACCCGAACGGCACCCAACGACCCGAAACAGCCUAAACUCUGCUGAAGAAAAUAAGCUCGGCACCCCAGCACGAGCGUAAAUGCCUUCUAAACUACCCCAGGUAUCCAUCGCACUGAUACUGCAACGAUACAAUCGAAUCACGGCUCCUAGAGCUAAAUCUGGUAGUUUAAGCAUAUGACGGGUCAAAACGCAGGUUUUCUCCUGAGUCAAAUUUCAAGUCCAACAUGUAUAAUAUAACUAUUCAUUUCAGUAUGCUUCUACAUUCAUAUUACAUUCAAGAUGCUAAUCGAUGAAUUAAAGCAUGAUAUACAAAAAUCGAACUAUACGCGUUUACUAAACAUGCACUUAGGAGCGAAACCGAUGAUAACCCACCUCUAGUGAAAUUUCUGGCAGCAAGAUGGUCUCGGAUCACAAGUAACACAGCUGGUAACACCUCCAAACCAGCAACAAGUCCCCCCAAAAUCUGGACAUUACAAUUCACCCAAAAAUCCAACAAAACCAUCAAUUUACCAAAAAUUUCAGCACUAAUGCUUAAUUAUCUCAAUUCCAAUAUCAAAACUCACCUAAUGAUCUCCAAUUC